This 27-nucleotide small RNA is filed under the name Bombyx mori (domestic silkworm). RNAcentral's name for it is "ovarian small RNA-11668". Lineage: Eukaryota; Metazoa; Arthropoda; Insecta; Lepidoptera; Bombycidae. The record is from RNAcentral.
ACUCGAACGACCCCCGCGAGUGCGCAC